Molecule: ribosomal RNA, 468 nt
Filed under: uncultured bacterium
Lineage: Bacteria
Description: partial 16S ribosomal RNA
Rfam family: Bacterial small subunit ribosomal RNA
Source: RNAcentral
GACGAACGCUGGCGGCGUGCUUAACACAUGCAAGUCGAACGGAAAGGCCCUGCUUUUGUGGGGUGCUCGAGUGGCGAACGGGUGAGUAACACGUGAGUAACCUGCCCUUGACUUUGGGAUAACUUCAGGAAACUGGGGCUAAUACCGGAUAGGAGCUCCUGCUGCAUGGUGGGGGUUGGAAAGUUUCGGCGGUUGGGGAUGGACUCGCGGCUUAUCAGCUUGUUGGUGGGGUAGUGGCUGACCAAGGCUUUGACGGGUAGCCGGCCUGAGAGGGUGACCGGCCACAUUGGGACUGAGAUACGGCCCAGACUCCUACGGGAGGCAGCAGUGGGGAAUAUUGCACAAUGGUCGGAAGCCUGAUGCAGCAACGCCGCGUGCGGGAUGACGGCCUUCGGGUUGUAAACCGCUUUCGCCUGUGACGAAGCGUGAGUGACGGUAAUGGGUAAAGAAGCACCGGCUAACUACGUG